GCUCUUGUUUCUCUUCAGACGCAUAAAUCUUUCGCCUUUUUACUAAAGAUUUCCGUGGAGAGGAACAACAAGAGAUUUGACAUUUUUUGGUGCUCUGCUUACAGUGG
Molecule: small nuclear RNA, 107 nt
Filed under: Neogobius melanostomus (round goby)
Lineage: Eukaryota; Metazoa; Chordata; Actinopteri; Gobiiformes; Gobiidae
Description: U5 spliceosomal RNA (ENSNMLG00000021427.1)
Rfam family: U5 spliceosomal RNA
About the family: U5 RNA is a component of both types of known spliceosome.
Source: RNAcentral